Lactobacillus amylolyticus DSM 11664 is the source of this 368-nucleotide non-coding RNA. The record is from Rfam. NCBI's taxonomy places the organism in Bacteria, Bacillati, Bacillota, Bacilli, Lactobacillales, Lactobacillaceae.
GGGGAUGUUUUUGGGAUUCGACAGGCGUAGACUUGCAUUGACUGCAAUUCGUAGGUUACGUCUACGUAAAAACGUUAAUUUAAAUUUAACUGCAAAAAACAGUAAUUCUUACGCAUUAGCUGCCUAAUUAGGCGCAUGUGUUGCCUUUAACCAGCUUACUCGUGGCCGGUUCUAGGUAUCAACAUUAGCGAGUUACGUUUAACUACCUCACCUGAAUAGUUAGAAAGAGUCUGAGCAGGUUAGCUAGUUCAUUCUAGCCCUGUUAUAUGGCGUUUUGAGCUAGUGAAGUUCAAGUAAUAUAACUAUGAUUGUAGAGGUCAGUGAUGAGCUGCGUCUGGACAGGGGUUCAACUCCCCUCAUCUCCUCUA